Molecule: ribosomal RNA, 122 nt
Filed under: Seriola dumerili (greater amberjack)
Lineage: Eukaryota; Metazoa; Chordata; Actinopteri; Carangiformes; Carangidae
Source: RNAcentral
GCUACAAGCCAUACCACUCUGAGCACGCCCGAUCUCGUCCGAUCUCGGAACCAAAGCAGGGUAGGGUGAGGGUUAGUACCUUGGACGAGCAAGACCGCUUGGAAUACCAGGUGCUGUAAGCU